This 570-nucleotide ribosomal RNA is filed under the name Zygosaccharomyces sp. IFO 11066. RNAcentral's name for it is "eukaryotic LSU rRNA". It matches the Rfam family "Eukaryotic large subunit ribosomal RNA", at positions 62 to 648 of the family's 3401-position model. The record is from RNAcentral. Lineage: Eukaryota; Fungi; Ascomycota; Saccharomycetes; Saccharomycetales; Saccharomycetaceae.
AAACCAACCGGGAUUGCCUUAGUAACGGCGAGUGAAGCGGCAAAAGCUCAAAUUUGAAAUCUGGCACCUUCGGUGUCCGAGUUGUAAUUUGAAGAAGCAACUUUGGGGCUGGUCCUUGUCUAUGUUCCUUGGAACAGGACGUCAUGGAGGGUGAGAAUCCCGUGUGGCGAGGAUCCCAGUUCUUUGUAAAGUGCUUUCGACGAGUCGAGUUGUUUGGGAAUGCAGCUCUAAGUGGGUGGUAAAUUCCAUCUAAAGCUAAAUAUUGGCGAGAGACCGAUAGCGAACAAGUACAGUGAUGGAAAGAUGAAAAGAACUUUGAAAAGAGAGUGAAAAAGGACGUGAAAUUGUUGAAAGGGAAGGGCAUUUGAUCAGACAUGGUGUUUUGCGACCCUCGCUCCUUGUGGGUGGGGAUCUCGCAGUUCACUGGGCCAGCAUCAGUUUUGGCGGCAGGAUAAAUCUUUGGGAAUGUAGCUUUGCUUCGGGAAAGUGUUAUAGCCCAGGGGAAUACUGCCAGCCGGGACUGAGGAUUGCGACUUUGUCAAGGAUGUUGGCAUAAUGGUUAAAUGCCAC